Molecule: non-coding RNA, 21 nt
Organism: Caenorhabditis elegans
Lineage: Eukaryota; Metazoa; Nematoda; Chromadorea; Rhabditida; Rhabditidae
Source: Ensembl
UAAUAGUUUUGAAAAAAAAAA